RNAcentral lists this ribosomal RNA (253 nucleotides) under uncultured bacterium. RNAcentral describes it as "partial 16S ribosomal RNA". It matches the Rfam family "Bacterial small subunit ribosomal RNA", at positions 524 to 776 of the family's 1533-position model. The record is from RNAcentral.
CACGUAGGGGGCAAGCGUUGUCCGGAAUCAUUGGGCGUAAAGCGCGUGUAGGCGGUCCGGCAAGUCCGCUGUGAAAGUCGGGGGCUUAACCCUCGGAUGCCGGUGGAUACUGUCGGGCUUGAGUACGGAAGAGGCGAGUGGAAUUCCUGGUGUAGCGGUGAAAUGCGCAGAUAUCAGGAGGAACACCAAUUGCGAAGGCAGCUCGCUGGGACGUUACUGACGCUGAGACGCGAAAGCGUGGGGAGCAAACAGG